This 85-nucleotide transfer RNA is filed under the name Bacteroidota bacterium. Its description in RNAcentral is "Bacteroidetes bacterium (activated sludge metagenome) tRNA-Ser". It matches the Rfam family "tRNA". Rfam says of the family: Transfer RNA (tRNA) molecules are approximately 80 nucleotides in length. Their secondary structure includes four short double-helical elements and three loops (D, anti-codon, and T loops). Lineage: Bacteria; Pseudomonadati; Bacteroidota. The record is from RNAcentral.
GGAGAGGUGUCAGAGUGGCCGAUCGAGCAUGCUUGGAAAGCAUGUGUACAGCAAUGUACCGCGGGUUCGAAUCCCGCCCUCUCCG